This 48-nucleotide non-coding RNA is filed under the name Trichobilharzia regenti. The record is from RNAcentral. Lineage: Eukaryota; Metazoa; Platyhelminthes; Trematoda; Strigeidida; Schistosomatidae.
AUCCAGCUGACGAGUCUCAAACAGGACGAAAUGCGCUUUAUCCUGGAU